GACGAACGCUGGCGGCGUGCUUAACACAUGCAAGUCGAACGGAAAGGCCCUGCUUUUGUGGGGUGCUCGAGUGGCGAACGGGUGAGUAACACGUGAGUAACCUGCCCUUGACUUUGGGAUAACUUCAGGAAACUGGGGCUAAUACCGGAUAGGAGCUCCUGCUGCAUGGUGGGGGUUGGAAAGUUUCGGCGGUUGGGGAUGGACUCGCGGCUUAUCAGCUUGUUGGUGGGGUAGUGGCUUACCAAGGCUUUGACGGGUAGCCGGCCUGAGAGGGUGAACGGCCACAUUGGGACUGAGAUACGGCCCAGACGCCUACGGGAGGCAGCAGUGGGGAAUAUUGCACAAUGGGCGGAAGCCUGAUGCAGCAACGCCGCGUGCGGGAUGACGGCCUUCGGGUUAUAAACCGCUUUCGCCUGUGACGAAGCGUGAGUGACGGUAAUGGGUAAAGAAGCACCGGCUAACUACGUG
This 468-nucleotide ribosomal RNA is filed under the name uncultured bacterium. RNAcentral's name for it is "partial 16S ribosomal RNA". It matches the Rfam family "Bacterial small subunit ribosomal RNA", at positions 28 to 507 of the family's 1533-position model. The record is from RNAcentral.